UACAGAGGUCCCGAGCGUUGUUCGGAUUCAUUGGGCGUAAAGGGUGCGUAGGCGGUCUUCUAAGUUUGAUGUGAAAUCCCGGGGCUCAACCCUGGAAUGGCAUUGAAUACUGGAGGACUAGAGUACCGGAGAGGAAACUGGAAUUUACGGUGUAGCAGUGAAAUGCGUAGAGAUCGUAAGGAAGACCAGUGGCGAAGGCGAGUUUCUGGACGGUAACUGACGCUGAGGCACGAAGGCCAGGGGAGCAAACGGG
RNAcentral lists this ribosomal RNA (253 nucleotides) under uncultured bacterium. RNAcentral's name for it is "partial 16S ribosomal RNA". It matches the Rfam family "Bacterial small subunit ribosomal RNA", at positions 524 to 776 of the family's 1533-position model. The record is from RNAcentral.